GUGCACCAGGCGCGAAUUUUUCUCAAUGGGGGAAACCCUGAAGGAGCGACGCCGCGUGGAGGAUGAAGGCUUUCGGGUUGUAAACUCCUGUCAUUUGAGAACAAGUGGCCGAACGUAACUGCUUCGGCCUUGAUAGUAUCAGAAGAGGAAGGGACGGCUAACUCUGUGCCAGCAGCCGCGGUAAUACAGAGGUCUCAAGCGUUGUUCGGAUUCAUUGGGCGUAAAGGGUGCGUAGGUGGCGCCGUAAGUCGGGUGUGAAAUUUCGGAGCUUAACUCCGAAACUGCAUUCGAUACUGCGGUGCUUGAGGACUGGAGAGGAGACUGGAAUUUACGGUGUAGCAGUGAAAUGCGUAGAGAUCGUAAGGAAGACCAGUGGCGAUGGCGGGUCUCUGGACGGUUCCUGACACUGAGGCACGAAGGCCAGGGGAGCAAACGGGAUUAGAUACCCGUGUAGUCCCUGAGACCGUCGACGACGACACACGGAGGUAGA
RNAcentral lists this ribosomal RNA (490 nucleotides) under uncultured organism. RNAcentral describes it as "bacterial SSU rRNA". It matches the Rfam family "Bacterial small subunit ribosomal RNA", at positions 346 to 832 of the family's 1533-position model. The record is from RNAcentral.